RNAcentral lists this ribosomal RNA (1372 nucleotides) under uncultured bacterium. RNAcentral describes it as "bacterial SSU rRNA". It matches the Rfam family "Bacterial small subunit ribosomal RNA", at positions 28 to 1381 of the family's 1533-position model. The record is from RNAcentral.
GAUGAACGCUGGCGGCGUGCCUAAUACAUGCAAGUCGAGCGAACGGACGAGAAGCUUGCUUCUCUGAUGUUAGCGGCGGACGGGUGAGUAACACGUGGAUAACCUACCUAUAAGACUGGGAUAACUUCGGGAAACCGGAGCUAAUACCGGAUAAUAUUUUGAACCGCAUGGUUCAAAAGUGAAAGACGGUCUUGCUGUCACUUAUAGAUGGAUCCGCGCUGCAUUAGCUAGUUGGUAAGGUAACGGCUUACCAAGGCAACGAUGCAUAGCCGACCUGAGAGGGUGAUCGGCCACACUGGAACUGAGACACGGUCCAGACUCCUACGGGAGGCAGCAGUAGGGAAUCUUCCGCAAUGGGCGAAAGCCUGACGGAGCAACGCCGCGUGAGUGAUGAAGGUCUUCGGAUCGUAAAACUCUGUUAUUAGGGAAGAACAUAUGUGUAAGUAACUGUGCACAUCUUGACGGUACCUAAUCAGAAAGCCACGGCUAACUACGUGCCAGCAGCCGCGGUAAUACGUAGGUGGCAAGCGUUAUCCGGAAUUAUUGGGCGUAAAGCGCGCGUAGGCAGUUUUUUAAGUCUGAUGUGAAAGCCCACGGCUCAACCGUGGAGGGUCAUUGGAAACUGGAAAACUUGAGUGCAGAAGAGGAAAGUGGAAUUCCAUGUGUAGCGGUGAAAUGCGCAGAGAUAUGGAGGAACACCAGUGGCGAAGGCGACUUUCUGGUCUGUAACUGACGCUGAUGUGCGAAAGCGUGGGGAUCAAACAGGAUUAGAUACCCUGGUAGUCCACGCCGUAAACGAUGAGUGCUAAGUGUUAGGGGGUUUCCGCCCCUUAGUGCUGCAGCUAACGCAUUAAGCACCCCGCCUGGGGAGUACGACCGCAAGGUUGAAACUCAAAGGAAUUGACGGGGACCCGCACAAGCGGUGGAGCAUGUGGUUUAAUUCGAAGCAACGCGAAGAACCUUACCAAAUCUUGACAUCCUUUGACAACUCUAGAGAUAGAGCUUUCCCCUUCGGGGGACAAAGUGACAGGUGGUGCAUGGUUGUCGUCAGCUCGUGUCGUGAGAUGUUGGGUUAAGUCCCGCAACGAGCGCAACCCUUAAGCUUAGUUGCCAUCAUUAAGUUGGGCACUCUAAGUUGACUGCCGGUGACAAACCGGAGGAAGGUGGGGAUGACGUCAAAUCAUCAUGCCCCUUAUGAUUUGGGCUACACACGUGCUACAAUGGACAAUACAAAGGGCAGCGAAACCGCGAGGUCAAGCAAAUCCCAUAAAGUUGUUCUCAGUUCGGAUUGUAGUCUGCAACUCGACUACAUGAAGCUGGAAUCGCUAGUAAUCGUAGAUCAGCAUGCUACGGUGAAUACGUUCCCGGGUCU